Molecule: ribosomal RNA, 482 nt
Filed under: uncultured bacterium
Lineage: Bacteria
Description: partial 16S ribosomal RNA
Rfam family: Bacterial small subunit ribosomal RNA
Source: RNAcentral
AUUGAACGCUGGCGGCAUGCUUUACACAUGCAAGUCGAACGGUAACAGGCCGCAAGGUGCUGACGAGUGGCGAACGGGUGAGUAAUGCAUCGGAACGUGCCCAGUCGUGGGGGAUAACUACUCGAAAGAGUAGCUAAUACCGCAUACGAUCUAUGGUUGAAAGCGGGGGACCGUAAGGCUUCGCGAGAUUUGAGCGGCCGAUGUCAGAUUAGGUAGUUGGUGGGGUAAAGGCUUACCAAGCCAACGAUCUGUAGCUGGUCUGAGAGGACGACCAGCCACACUGGAACUGAGACACGGCCCAGACUCCUACGGGAGGCAGCAGUGGGGAAUUUUGGACAAUGGGCGCAAGCCUGAUCCAGCAAUGCCGCGUGCAGGAAGAAGGCCUUCGGGUUGUAAACUGCUUUUGUACGGAACGAAACGGCUCUGGUUAAUACCCGGGGCUAAUGACGGUACCGUAAGAAUAAGCACCGGCUAACUACGUG